GACGAACGCUGGCGGCGUGCUUAACACAUGCAAGUCGAACGGAAAGGCCCUGCUUUUGUGGGGUGCUCGAGUGGCGAACGGGUGAGUAACACGUGAGUAACCUGCCCUUGACUUUGGGAUAACCUCAGGAAACUGGGGCUAAUACCGGAUAGGAGCUCCUGCUGCAUGGUGGGGGUUGGAAAGUUUCGGCGGUUGGGGAUGGACUCGCGGCUUAUCAGCUUGUUGGUGGGGUAGUGGCUUACCAAGGCUUUGACGGGUAGCCGGCCUGAGAGGGUGACCGGCCACAUUGGGACUGAGAUACGGCCCAGACUCCUACGGGAGGCAGCAGUGGGGAAUAUUGCACAAUGGGCGGAAGCCUGAUGCAGCAACGCCGCGUGCGGGAUGACGGCCUUCGGGUUGUAAACCGCUUUCGCCUGUGACGAAGCGUGAGUGACGGUAAUGGGUAAAGAAGCACCGGCUAACUACGUGCCAGCAGCCGCGGUGAUACGUAGGGUGCGAGCGUUGUCCGGAUUUAUUGGGCGUAAAGGGCUCGUAGGUGGUUGAUCGCGUCGGAAGUGUAAUCUUGGGGCUUAACCCUGAGCGUGCUUUCGAUACGGGUUGACUUGAGGAAGGUAGGGGAGAAUGGAAUUCCUGGUGGAGCGGUGGAAUGCGCAGAUAUCAGGAGGAACACCAGUGGCGAAGGCGGUUCUCUGGGCCUUUCCCGACGCUGAGGAGCGAAAGCGUGGGGAGCGAACAGGCUUAGAUACCCUGGUAGUCCACGCUGUAAACGGUGGGUACUAGGUGUGGGAUCCAUUCCACGGGUUCCGUGCCGUAGCUAACGCUUUAAGUACCCCGCCUGGGGAGUACGGCCGCAAGGCUAAAACUCAAAGGAAUUGACGGGGCCCCGCACAAGCGGCGGAGCAUGCGGAUUAAUUCGAUGCAACGCGUAGAACCUUACCUGGGUUUGACAUGGAUCGGGAGUGCUCAGAGAUGGGUGUGCCUCUUUUGGGGUCGGUUCACAGGUGGUGCAUGGCUGUCGUCAGCUCGUGUCGUGAGAUGUUGGGUUAAGUCCCGCAACGAGCGCAACCCUUGUUCACUGUUGCCAGCACGUUAUGGUGGGGACUCAGUGGAGACCGCCGGGGUCAACUCGGAGGAAGGUGGGGAUGACGUCAAGUCAUCAUGCCCCUUAUGUCCAGGGCUUCACGCAUGCUACAAUGGCUGGUACAGAGAGUGGCGAGCCUGUGAGGGUGAGCGAAUCUCGGAAAGCCGGUCUCAGUUCGGAUUGGGGUCUGCAACUCGACCUCAUGAAGUCGGAGUCGCUAGUAAUCGCAGAUCAGCAACGCUGCGGUGAAUACGUUCCCGGGGCU
RNAcentral lists this ribosomal RNA (1346 nucleotides) under uncultured bacterium. Its description in RNAcentral is "partial 16S ribosomal RNA". It matches the Rfam family "Bacterial small subunit ribosomal RNA", at positions 28 to 1381 of the family's 1533-position model. The record is from RNAcentral.